UACGUAGGUGGCAAGCGUUGUCCGGAUUUAUUGGGUUUAAAGGGUACGUAGGCGGCUUUGUAAGUCAGUGGUGAAAUAUGGCAGCUCAACUGUCAAGGUGCCAUUGAUACUGCGGAGCUUGAGUACAGAUGAGGUAGGCGGAAUUGACGGUGUAGCGGUGAAAUGCUUAGAUAUCGUCAAGAACACCUAUAGCGAAGGCAGCUUACUAGGCUGUAACUGACGCUGAGGCACGAAAGUGUGGGGAUCAAACAGG
RNAcentral lists this ribosomal RNA (253 nucleotides) under uncultured bacterium. Its description in RNAcentral is "partial 16S ribosomal RNA". It matches the Rfam family "Bacterial small subunit ribosomal RNA", at positions 524 to 776 of the family's 1533-position model. The record is from RNAcentral.